The sequence is a transfer RNA, 72 nucleotides long. It matches the Rfam family "tRNA". From Rfam's summary of the family: Transfer RNA (tRNA) molecules are approximately 80 nucleotides in length. Their secondary structure includes four short double-helical elements and three loops (D, anti-codon, and T loops). The record is from Rfam.
GCCGGUUUAGCACAGUGGUAGUGCGUCAGUCUUGUAAACUGAAGGUCGGUUGUUCAAUCCAGCCAACGGGCA